AACGAACGCUGGCGGCAUGCCUAACACAUGCAAGUCGAACGAUCCCUUCGGGGAUAGUGGCGCACGGGUGCGUAACGCGUGGGAACCUGCCCUUAGGUUCGGAAUAACUCAGAGAAAUUUGAGCUAAUACCGGAUAAUGUCUUCGGACCAAAGAUUUAUCGCCUUUGGAUGGGCCCGCGUUGGAUUAGCUAGUUGGUGGGGUAGAGGCCUACCAAGGCGACGAUCCAUAGCUGGUCUGAGAGGAUGAUCAGCCACACUGGGACUGAGACACGGCCCAGACUCCUACGGGAGGCAGCAGUGGGGAAUAUUGGACAAUGGGCGAAAGCCUGAUCCAGCAAUGCCGCGUGAGUGAUGAAGGCCUUAGGGUUGUAAAGCUCUUUUACCCGGGAUGAUAAUGACAGUACCGGGAGAAUAAGCCCCGGCUAACUCCGUG
RNAcentral lists this ribosomal RNA (433 nucleotides) under uncultured bacterium. RNAcentral's name for it is "partial 16S ribosomal RNA". It matches the Rfam family "Bacterial small subunit ribosomal RNA", at positions 29 to 507 of the family's 1533-position model. The record is from RNAcentral.